This 472-nucleotide ribosomal RNA is filed under the name uncultured organism. RNAcentral's name for it is "partial 16S ribosomal RNA". It matches the Rfam family "Bacterial small subunit ribosomal RNA", at positions 335 to 798 of the family's 1533-position model. The record is from RNAcentral.
ACUCCUACGGGAGGCAGCAGUGGGGAAUUUUGGACAAUGGGCGAAAGCCUGAUCCAGCAAUGCCGCGUGAGUGAAGAAGGCCUUCGGGUUGUAAAGCUCUUUUGUCAGGGAAGAAACUGUGAAAGCUAAUAUCUUUUGCUAAUGACGGUACCUGAAGAAUAAGCACCGGCUAACUACGUGCCAGCAGCCGCGGUAAUACGUAGGGUGCAAGCGUUAAUCGGAAUUACUGGGCGUAAAGCGUGCGCAGGCGGUUUUGUAAGUCUGAUGUGAAAUCCCCGGGCUCAACCUGGGAAUUGCAUUGGAGACUGCAAGGCUAGAAUCUGGCAGAGGGGGGUAGAAUUCCACGUGUAGCAGUGAAAUGCGUAGAUAUGUGGAGGAACACCGAUGGCGAAGGCAGCCCCCUGGGUCAAGAUUGACGCUCAUGCACGAAAGCGUGGGGAGCAAACAGGAUUAGAAACCCGAGUAGUCCCAU